UGACUUGACCGUCGGAGGGUCUCCGCCGGAGUUAUCUCCAGUCAGUGCGGAUUUUUUUUGCAGACGUUCGCUCCCGACGAUCAGACGACGAGGGGAUUGGCCGCAACACCUAUUAAUCCUUGCUCUAUAUUGGUUGUGGCUGAGGAUGGCAUAUUGCACCCAUCCGUUUUGGCCAAGAUCUGUGAUGUUGGCACUGGAACUCGUUCCAGUAGACAACCAAUCCGAUAUAUUAUAUAUCCGUAUCAUGCUAUUCUAGAACAUACCGGCAG
This 269-nucleotide long non-coding RNA is filed under the name Elaeis guineensis (African oil palm). RNAcentral describes it as "long non-coding RNA (EGUI_LNC002167)". Lineage: Eukaryota; Viridiplantae; Streptophyta; Magnoliopsida; Arecales; Arecaceae. The record is from RNAcentral.